AGUUACUGCUAUCGAGGUUCGACUAAGCCAUGCGAGUCGAAUGUAGCAAUACAUGGCGAACUGCUCAGUAACACGUGGACAACCUGCCCUUAGGUUGGGUAUAAACCCGGGAAACUGGGUAUAAUACCCGAUAGGUCUCGAUUGCUGGAAUGCAUCGAGAUUUAAAGCUCCGGCGCCUAAGGAUGGGUCUGCGGCCUAUCAGGUAGUAGUGGGUGUAGCGUACCUACUAGCCUACGACGGGUACGGGUUGUGAGAGCAAGAGCCCGGAGAUGGAUUCUGAGACACGAAUCCAGGCCCUACGGGGUGCAGCAGGCGCGAAAACUUUACAAUGCUGGCAACAGCGAUAAGGGAACCUCGAGUGCCAGGUUACAAAUCUGGCUGUCGAGAUGCCUAAAAAGCAUUUCAUAGCAAGGGCCGGGCAAGACCGGUGCCAGCCGCCGCGGUAACACCGGCGGCUCGAGUGGUAACCGUUAUUAUUGGGUCUAAAGGGUCUGUAGCCGGCCGGAUAAGUCUCUUGAGAAAUCUGGCAGCUUAACUGUCAGGCUUUCAGGAGAUACUGUCUGGCUCGAGGCCGGGAGAGGUGAGAGGUACUUCAGGGGUAGGGGUGAAAUCUUGUAAUCCUUGAAGGACCACCAGUGGCGAAGGCGUCUCACCAGAACGGACCUGACGGCAAGGGACGAAAGCUAGGGGCACGAACCGGAUUAGAUACCCGGGUAGUCCUAGCCGUAAACGAUACUCGCUAGGUGUCGGCCACGGUGCGACCGUUGUCGGUGCCGUAGGGAAGCCGUGAAGCGAGCCACCUGGGAAGUACGGCCGCAAGGCUGAAACUUAAAGGAAUUGGCGGGGGAGCACCACAACGGGUGGAGCUUGCGGUUU
Molecule: ribosomal RNA, 876 nt
Filed under: uncultured Methanosarcinales archaeon
Lineage: Archaea; Methanobacteriati; Methanobacteriota; Methanomicrobia; Methanosarcinales
Description: bacterial SSU rRNA
Rfam family: Archaeal small subunit ribosomal RNA
Source: RNAcentral